CCUACGGGAGGCUGCAGUGAGGAAUAUUGGUCAAUGGACGAGAGUCUGAACCAGCCAAGUAGCGUGAAGGAUGACUGCCCUAUGGGUUGUAAACUUCUUUUAUAUGGGAAUAAAAUGUUCCACGUGUGGGUUUUUGUAUGUACCAUAUGAAUAAGGAUCGGCUCACUCCGUGCCAGCAGCCGCGGUAAUACGGAGGAUCCGAGCGUUAUCCGGAUUUAUUGGGGUUAAAGGGAGCGUAGGUGGAUUGUUAAGUCAGUUGUGAAAGUUUGGGGCUAAACCGUAAAAUUGCAGUUGAAACUGGCAGGCUUGAGUACAGUAGAGGUGGGCGGAAUUCGUGGUGUAGCGGUGAAAUGCUUAGAUAUCACGAAGAACACCGAUUGCGAAGGCAGCUCACUAGACUGCAACUGACACUGAGGCUCGAAAGUGUGGGUAUCAAACAGGAUUAGAUACCCCAGUAGUC
Molecule: ribosomal RNA, 460 nt
Filed under: uncultured bacterium
Lineage: Bacteria
Description: partial 16S ribosomal RNA
Rfam family: Bacterial small subunit ribosomal RNA
Source: RNAcentral